UGACAGCAUCCUCCACCGCUCCACACCUGACCGACUCCAUCAGAUACACAGAUGAUGGAGCUCUCCGCGCUGCCGGGUUAUUAUCCUGUUGCCUCCAUUUCGCACAUCCACUGUCCGACACAUGUUCUUCAAAACCCGUAUCGUUAAUCAGUGUACUUGAACUGUGUUUUUUUUUUCCUGUGGCUGUUUUUUUUUUUUUUUAAAGAUUGGUUGGGCUGCUCGCUUUUUAUUUAUUUAUUUAUUUUGUGAAUACUGAGCGGUCGGAUCGAGGUGGUCUUUGUUUUUCCAGGAAAAGCGAACAGGAGUGGACUGAUUAUGCUGCAUCGCUCGUGAACACCAGAAAUGGGUGUCAUCGAACCAAGGUUGCCAAUCCCGGCUCGCUCUUGGACCGGAUUUUCGUUUUUUUCUAUGGGAAAACAUCUGCCCAAUCCGGGUCUUACACAUCUACAAGUUGCUGCACUGAGCAGGCGUAGUGCGUCAUCUUGACUGUCACCAUCAGUCUCCUCUGGCGUCCAAUCCGCCAGUUGUCCAAAUGGACGCACAUCAUCCAAGGCUGUAGAGGACUAGGACUCCAUUUUACUGAGCUUCAGACAAGCAAACAAAUGGUUCAAUCAAUAGGCAGUGGACAGAGUCUGCCUUAGGGAGGAUAUCAAUAACACAUUAAUACUCUUCACACACACACACACACACACACACACAUACACACACACACACACACACACACACACACACACACACACACAC
Archocentrus centrarchus (flier cichlid) is the source of this 744-nucleotide long non-coding RNA. RefSeq lists it as uncharacterized. The record is from RefSeq and is a predicted model, not a curated record. Lineage: Eukaryota; Metazoa; Chordata; Actinopteri; Cichliformes; Cichlidae. The transcript is spliced from 3 exons.